Molecule: RNase P RNA, 241 nt
Filed under: Deltaproteobacteria bacterium
Lineage: Bacteria; Pseudomonadati; Myxococcota; Myxococcia
Description: partial RNase P RNA component class A
Rfam family: Bacterial RNase P class A
About the family: Ribonuclease P (RNase P) is a ubiquitous endoribonuclease, found in archaea, bacteria and eukarya as well as chloroplasts and mitochondria.
Source: RNAcentral
UGAGGAGGCCAUUCGGCCGCCGGCCCUCCGGCGCUUGCGCGACGGAGGGCGGGAGGAAAGUCCGGGCUCCGCAGGGCAGGGUGCCGGGUAAUCCCCGGUGGGGGCGACCCCGAGGACAGUGCCACAGAAAAGACACCGCCAUCCGGCCUGCCAGGCCGGGCGGCAAGGGUGAAAUGGUGAGGUAAGAGCUCACCGCGCGCCGGGCGACCGGCGCGGCACGGCAAACCCCACCCGGAGCAAG